UACAGGGGGGGCAAGCGUUGUUCGGAAUUACUGGGCGUAAAGGGCUCGUAGGCGGCCGGCUAAGUCCGACGUGAAAUCCCCAGGCUUAACCUGGGAACUGCGUCGGAUACUGGCGGGCUUGAAUCCGGGAGAGGGAUGCGGAAUUCCAGGUGUAGCGGUGAAAUGCGUAGAUAUCUGGAGGAACACCGGUGGCGAAGGCGGCUCACUGGCCCGAUACUGACGCUGAGGCACGAAAGCGUGGGGAGCAAACAGG
RNAcentral lists this ribosomal RNA (253 nucleotides) under uncultured bacterium. RNAcentral describes it as "partial 16S ribosomal RNA". It matches the Rfam family "Bacterial small subunit ribosomal RNA", at positions 524 to 776 of the family's 1533-position model. The record is from RNAcentral.